GCUGGGUGGGGUGGAGCAUGCCUGUAAUCCCGGUGAUUUUGGAGGCUGAGGCAGGAGGAUUGCAAGAUCAAGGCCAGCCUCAGCAAUGCAGUGAGGCCCUAAGCAAUUUAGCAAGACCCUGUCUCAA
RNAcentral lists this small RNA (127 nucleotides) under Marmota monax (woodchuck). The record is from RNAcentral. Lineage: Eukaryota; Metazoa; Chordata; Mammalia; Rodentia; Sciuridae.